UGACAGCCCUGUAAUCAGGACGCAUGUCACAAAUAUCUAUAGAAUGGGACAUAUUGAGUCCUUUGGUACUUUGAGGAGCUUGACCUUCCUGUAAUUCAGGUUACGGUCUCUGCUAUUUGGCUAAUCCCAGCGACCACCCUGUAAUCAGGGUACAGGUUGCAUCUCUCUUUUGAAAUCUUUGGAAUUGGAACCAUUUCAGUAACAUGGGCAGUUUGACCUCCCUGUAACUAGGGUUUGGUCUCCGAGGCCUUUUGGAUCUCUUGGCAUUGUGCUUUCUUCACAGCCUGAGGCGAGUGACCGCCCUGUAAUCAGGGUUCUGGUCUUGGCCCUCUAUUCCCUUGGAACUUGGUCAAGUGCAGCCCACUGAUAAGAAUGAGCACCCUGUAAACAGGGUACAGGUCUCAUCAGACACUAUUUAUGGUGCCCCCAUGAGACUGUGUCCAGAGUCCUGGCCCUUCGCACUGCGCUUCCAACUUGCCUGGAAUUGUGCCGCCAAGUCUCCUGCUUUCUGCUCCGCUUACUAUGCUCUUGGAGAUUCGACAUCCUGCUCCUGUUGCUGGCAGCUCCAAGCACAAGUGUAUGAGAAGGAAGUGUCAGGAAUGUCAAGCAAAGAGGAGGAAAGAGGACAACUCACUGAAGAUGGAGGAGAAGGAAAGGGACUCUGGGCACAGUAACCUCCCUUUGUCAGGCCUCAGGUCACGUAAUUACACUGUACGGGCACCUCGAGCCUUUUAAUAGCUUGCGCAGCGUGACCACCCUGUAAUCAGGAUCCAUGUCUGUGCUGUUUUCUCCUUUUGACAUUGUGCUCCGUUAGCUGGCUAGUGACAGUGACUGCCCUGUAAUCAGGGUGCAAGUCACCUUCCCCUCGCUUUCGAGGGACAUUGAGCUCUUUGGUAACUUGAGCAAUGUGACCGCCCUGUAACUAGGGUCCGGGUCUCUGCCCAUUUGCUCAUUUGGCAUUACACCGUACACUGGCCUACUAGUCAGCUUGACAGCCCUGUAAUCAGGACGCAUGUCACAAAUAUCUAUAGAAUGGGACAUAUUGAGUCCUUUGGUACUUUGAGGAGCUUGACCUUCCUGUAAUUCAGGUUACGGUCUCUGCUAUUUGGCUAAUCCCAGCGACCACCCUGUAAUCAGGGUACAGGUUGCAUCUCUCUUUUGAAAUCUUUGGAAUUGGAACCAUUUCAGUAACAUGGGCAGUUUGACCUCCCUGUAACUAGGGUUUGGUCUCCAAGGCCUUUUGGGUCUCUUGGCAUUGUGCUUUCUUCACAGCCUGAAGCGAGUGACCGCCCUGUAAUCAGGGUUCUGGUCUUGGCCCUCUAUUCCCUUGGAACUUGGUCAAGUGCAGCCCACUGAUAAGAAUGAGCACCCUGUAAACAGGGUACAGGUCUCAUCAGACACUAUUUAUGGUGCCCCCAUGAGACUGUGUCCAGAGUCCUGGCCCUUCGCACUGCGCUUCCAACUUGCCUGGAAUUGUGCCGCCAAGUCUCCUGCUUUCUGCUCCGCUUACUGUGCUCUUGGAGAUUCGACAUCCUGCUCCUGUUGCUGGCAGCUCCAAGCACAAGUGUAUGAGAAGGAAGUGUCAGGAAUGUCAAGCAAAGAGGAGGAAAGAGGACAACUCACUGAGGAUGGAGGAGAAGGAAAGGGACUCUGGGCACAGUAACCUCCCUUUGUCAGGCCUCAGGUCACGUAAUUACACUGUACGGGCACCUCGAGCCUUUUAAUACCUUGCGCAGCGUGACCGCCCUGUAAUCAGGGUCCAGGUCUGUGCUGUUUUCUCCUUUUGACAUUGUGCUCUGUUAGUUGGCUAGUGAGAGUGACUGCCCUGUAAUCAGGAUGCAAGUCACUUCCCCCUCGCUUUCGAGGGACAUUGAGCUCUUUGGUAACUUGAGCAAUGUGACCGCCCUGUAACUAGGGCCUGAGUCUCUGCCCACUUGCUCAUUUGGCAUUACGCCUUGUUGUGGCCCUGUAGUCAGGAUGACGACCCUGUAAUCAGGGUACAAGUCAUCUUCCUUUUGCUUCUGGGGGAUACUGAGCUCUUUGGAACCCUGAGCCGUAGGACUCACCUCCCUCUAAUUUGGAGUCAGGGCGCUGCCAUCUUGCUGUUCUGACAGUCUAGUCACCGUGACCACCUGCAAUUCGGGUGCGUGUCACAAGUUGCUGUAGUAUGGGAAGUACUGAGCCCUUUGAUACCUUGUGGAGUGUGACCUCCCUGUAAUUCGGGGUCGGGUCUCUGCCCUUUUGCUCCCUGGCUUUAUGCACCUUUAUCUUUCUAAUCGGAAUGACCACCCCGUAAUUUGGGUGCAGGUCAAAUCCCUCUCAUUUAUCAGGGAUUAGGGUUAGUUUAGGGCCCUUAGGAGUGUGACCGCCCUGUAAUCAGGGUUCAGGUCUAAAGUUGUCUUCUGUCAUUAUCCUCUUUAAUUCAGCUAGUCAGAGUGACCACCUUGUAAUCAGGGUGAGAGUCAAAAUCCCCUCACUUAUGGGAGCUACUGAUGUCUUUCUUACUUGAGCCAUGUGACCUCCCUGUAACUAGGGUUCAGGUCUCUGUCCUUUGCUCUUCUGGGAUUGGGUCUUGUUCUCAGCCUGGUCAGUAUGACUGCCCUGUAAUUAGGGUGCAGGUCAUGUGCCUCUUAUUUAGGGAGGACUAGAUUCCCCUUAAUGCGUUGGGCUGAGUGACCACCCUGUAAGUAGGGUUCAGGUCUCCUCCUUUUCUCUUACUUGUGAUGUAUUUUCCAUUAAUUGGCUAGCUCGAGGGACCACCCUGUAAGAAGGGUUCAGGUCCUUUCCCCUUUGGCUCCUUUGGGUUGCUGCGCUAGUCACUUGGACCCCACCCUGUAAUCAGGGUGCAGGUCUUGUCCCUUUUCCCUUUGUUUGUUUGUUUUUUUGAGGGGAGGAAGAUUGGUCAAGUUUAACGCAGUGGGUCGAGUGACCUGUUGCCAUGAGCUCUCUUUCUGUUCUGGGAAGUCCCCCUUUGUUUUGUAUGGCUGUGUUUGUGAGAGCACGUGAUACAAGUGGGUGUGCAAGCUUUUUAAUUUUUAGUUAUUUAUUUUUAUUUUUUUAAGUUAAAUCGCUGCAGCGCUUUUUCUUUACUCUUCUCAGAAUUGGAAAAAGAGCUCAAAGUGUAUUAAUGUAUUUAUCCUCCUCCUCCCCACAAAAGGGAAGAGUAAGGGCUCAGAUGUCAUCAUUUAGCGCCUUUGACAGUGUGACCGCCCUGUAAACAGGGAUCUGGUCUCUCCAUUUAAGUUGAGUUCCUUUUAGUGGGCUGAUGACAAUGAUUGGCCUUUAAGGAGGCGGAUUUAGCUCAGGUGCUUGUGACUCACAGGAAGUACAGCAUCCCCUAGUACUUGGGCAGCGUGGCCACCCUGUAUCGAGGGUUCAGGUCUCUGCCUUUCGUUCUUUUGCCACCAUGCUACUUCAGCCGGUUGGUUUGAGUCCUGACCCUGUAAUGAAGGGAUUGUUUGUGUCCUUCUGCCUUCUGGGGGAUAUUGAGCUCUGUGGAACCCUGAGUAGUGUGACCACCCUGUAACUAGGGUCCAGGUCUUUGCCACUUGCUCAUUUGGCAUUACGCCGUACACUGGCCGACUAGUCAGCUUGACAGCCCUGUAAUCAGGGCGCAUGUCACAAAUAUCUAUAGAAUGGGACAUAUUGAGUCCUUUGGUACUUUGAGGAGCUUGACCUUCCUGUAAUUCAGGUUACGGUCUCUGCUAUUUGGCUAAUCCCAGCGACCACCCUGUAAUCAGGGUACAGGUUGCAUCUCUCUUUUGAAAUCUGUGGAAUUGGAACCAUUUCAGUAACAUGGGCAGUUUGACCUCCCUGUAACUAGGGUUUGGUCUCCAAGGCCUUUUGGGUCUCUUGGCAUUGUGCUUUCUUCACAGCCUGAGGCGAGUGACCGCCCUGUAAUCAGGGAUCUGGUCUUUGCCCUCUAUUCCCUUGACACUAGGUCAAGUGCAGCCCACUGAUCUGAAUGAGCACCCUGUAAACAGGGUACAGGUCUCAUCAGACACUAUUUAUGGUGCCCCCAUGAGACUGUGUCCAGAGUCCUGGCCCUUUGCACUGCACUUCCAACUUGCCUGGAAUUGUGCCGCCAAGUCUCCUGCUUUCUGCUCCGCUUACUGUGCUCUUGGAGCUCCGAUAUCCUGCUGCUGUUGCUGGAGAAUGGGACAAAACAGAAGCACCCAACUGAAAAAUGAGAAAAGAGACACUAACAGCCUAUGAAGAAGGAGAAAGGAAACAAAUUCUGAGAGCAAAGAACAGUUGUGUGAUCUAUUUCAAAGGUUUUAUACCAUGUCCAGCACCAUGGUAUAUGAGUGUAUUGGAAAGAUAAAUUGAACAAAGUCACUUGCAUCUGUCACCUUUCAAAUGCUGAUUAAUGUUCAUAGACAGUAUAUAACAAACUCUGAAGCUCAUUUACUUGUGGCACCACAAAACUGAAGAGUGGCAAACAGUUUUCUUCUACAACCUUUCAAUUCAGUAACUACUUCUGCCACAUGAGAACUGAUAUGUCAUCUUAUUUUAUAAUGAUGUAUGUCCUCUCUAAUUGUCUUUUACUAAUGAGUCCAUAAAGCAUGCUUUGUGCAUGACACUUUCACAUUCUAGUAGAAAAGUGGGAUGUAUUUUAUUUAAUUAAUUAACCUUAAUCUUUAUGAUUCCUUGACGAGUCAUUUUCAUGUCAUUGCUUGGUGAUUUGGACUUUUGUGUAGCAAGAAGUCAGUUUUAUUUCCUUAAAGUCUCUGUAAGCUACAACAAGUUGUUCAAAGCUGAAAAACUAUUUGAAAAAGAUGGAAGAAAACUGAGAUGUAGGGUGGCCACCCUGAAGAGUAUUGGAAAACCUUUUUCCGUAGGCACACUAUUGACCUUUCUCCUUUCUCUCAGCCCGUUUUUAUACCAAAACAGUACCAUAGAAAUGAUGCCAUGUGAAAUUAUACUAAGUUUCUACCUAUUGCCAAUUAGAAAUUGUCAAUAUAACUGGUUAUUUACAUCUAAAUGUUGAUUUCAUGUAGAUAUGUAACCAAGUAUUUUAAAAGUAUUUUACCAAGGUGACUACCUGAUUUUAUGUAAAAGAGUUACACACAUCUUAGAAAACAUGUUCCUUUGACUUAAGUGUGAGCGACUAAUGCUUUAUGUACUUUUUGUUUUUACUAACAAGUUUGUCAGAAGGCAUAAAGGAAAAAUUGUGAAUCUGUAAUGCAGAGACCUUAAACAAACAAGCACUACUUUUAUUAAAAAUGAAUAAUAAUUUCCUACUGGAGGUGCAAAGAUGUAACUGAAGGGAAGGCAUGUGUUUGUAUUCUCCACUCACCUCAAGCCCUCCCCCUCCAAAAAAAAAACUCUUCAAAAAAGUUAAUGUUGAAAAGAUUAACAUUUACUCCAGAUACUGUCUAAGUCAAUAUUUUUAAAGCUCUGUAUCUCUCACGCAUUGCUAAAAACAAGCAAACAAAAUUAAGAGUUGUUCUGGAAACUGGCAGUUACUCCCCCAACUUCACAACUUUCAAACACCUACUCUACUUCAACUGUCACACCAACCAAACUGUACCACACAUUCAAUUUUAACUUUGCACCUAUUGUGUCAGAAGAGCUAGAGUAUUUUUUGGUAGUUGUGUAUAUUGAUGUACAUGGUAAUAGUGGUGUUUUAAUGGGUUUUUAUGCUUAUUGAAUUAAGUGGAUGCUCGAGGAUGAUGAUUUGGAUGUUUUAGGUAGGCAUUUUUCUGUGAAGUGUUAGUAUUUUUGUAGAGGUGCAGUAUUUUGUGAUGAUUGUUUUUCAGGUAUUGGUUUACAGUGAAUUGUUGAAAAUCGUAGAUGUUUUUGUAUAUGUACAUUAUUAGAUGUACUUAGAGUGCAAAGUUGAGGUUGCCUGUUUGGUGCAAUUUUAUUGGUGUGAAAGUUAAUUUAGGGUAGGUGUUUGAAAGCACUGAGGUUUGAAUUUUAAGCUCAUCAGGGAUCUAGGACUUACCUGGCUACCUCAGUUCUUACUGUCAUUCCCAAUUCCAAAAUCUGGGAUGAAGAUGACCUGGCAGAAUAAAGAUAUCUCCAGAGACUUUCAAAAGUUAACAUUUCUGGAGCUGUAGGGGAUCCUUUAAACCUUAUUGAUCUUUUUGAGGUGUAAUAACUGGAAAACUUUUGACUUCUAUUUCUGCCAGUUAAGUGUUGAACAAUGACCUCUAUUAAAAGAUUUAUACUGAUAGUUAAUUCUGUUCUGUACUAAAAUCUUGCUAAUAUCACCAUUUUAUGAUGUGUGAUAUGAAUUAACUAGAUUUGAUUAUAUCUACUUGAUAAAUAUUGGAAUAUUCCAUGUUAAAUUCAUAGACUUAACUUUGAUUGUCAUAUCAACUUACUUUGCUAUCUGUAACUCCUUGUUUAUUAAUAUAUUUAUU
Mauremys mutica (yellowpond turtle) is the source of this 6371-nucleotide long non-coding RNA. RefSeq lists it as uncharacterized. Lineage: Eukaryota; Metazoa; Chordata; Testudines; Geoemydidae. The transcript has 5 exons. The record is from RefSeq and is a predicted model, not a curated record.